Molecule: long non-coding RNA, 1091 nt
Organism: Acomys russatus (golden spiny mouse)
Lineage: Eukaryota; Metazoa; Chordata; Mammalia; Rodentia; Muridae
Exons: 3
Source: RefSeq, a predicted model, not a curated record
CGGAGCUGAGGUGUCAGGCCAGGUGUGGGGCCUCCCACUGGCUUCCCCUCUGCCUCAAGGAUUACAAGCACCACGGAGUUUAACUACGUGCAAGCUCGGAGGUAGAUCUUCGGGGAGGGGCUGAAGGUAAAAUGACGUUGGAGUUGGGGAGUGGGUUAGAGCUCAGACUGGGGCAGAGGGACGGCAUUCUUUCCUCCUGCUGACCUAGCCAGCGCAUUGUGUUCCAGACCUAACAGCAAGCAGCCGGCAGAAGCCCCUCCCUUUCCAGGAAUGUCUCAGCCCCUUAGAAGGCGCAGGGCCACGUCAGCCAAUUGGCUCAGGCCCUGCCCUGGAAACAACACCUGUUAAUCCCCCCUCCUUCCAGCUCACCUAGGUGCAAGUUGGGCAGGUGAAUCGUCUCCCGGAAACGGAGCUAGAACGCCCCACCUGGGGGGCCCCUGCCUUCUCAAAUCGGAUUCAGCCACAGCCAGGCUUCUCAUAAAGCCUCUAAGAGCUGAGCUGGGGCUUGCCGGUCCCAUUCAAGGCCCUCCUGGACUCGCAGCUGGCACCUACAGGCUCUGUCUCUGCUGCUGCAGGAAGCUGGCUCCUUGCCGGCUGUGCCAGCUUUAUUUUUACCUGGUGAGCCAGUAGUGACAGCUGAGGCCAUGUGAGUCUGGUCCUGAAUGAGGCUUUAUCUCUGACUGUUCAUCCCAUCAUCCACUGUGGCACCAGCUUCCUGGAUGGAACAGGCAACUGAGCCGGCCAGAGCACGAGAGGUCAGGGGCCCAGCUGGGCAAGGGGAUUCCUUGAAGGGGAGAGGGGGUGGCUCUGUGGUGGAGGGAACUCUGUUGGGGUCAGGAGAGGCAUUUUCCCUGGAGGUGGAAUGCUGGGGCUGCAGCUUUCAGAAACAGGUCCUGAGGACCCUGAGGAAGAUUCUUGGGGCCCUUCCCUAAGACUCACAGGUGAGAUUAUGAGGGCCAGAUGGGUGGGAAAUAACAUGAUCCUGUCCUGCAGGUGAGUAAUAGCCAUAUCCUGGACUGAGAAGAGGAGAUUGGGCCUCUAGCUGCCAACCAGGUGAUGGGGACACAGGGCCAUGAUAAACACCCUCUGAG